GAGAUUGUUAACUCGAGAAAGACCGUUACGAUGUAAUACCAGGUUAGUGAAACUGCCAACUAUAGUUCCUUGGAAGGUGGAAAGUGUACCCAAUGAGCUUGUGAAUCUGGCUAAGGAAAUUUUCAGGAAGAGUGGUCUAUAUUUUCUUCUCUAUUUUGUCUAUAUGCUAAACAAAGCAAGAUAAGGUCAAGGAGGAACCCACCGCGUUUUUAUUCAAGUCUGUCUCCAUACACUCUAAUCUAAAUGCAAUAUCUCAGGAGUUGUUGGUUUGAGAGGAAUGGAGGGAACCCAAAUUUUGAUGAUUGGAACUAAGAGGGAUAUAAGAAAGCAGCCACAGGGAUGGAAUUUGGAGCUCGAUCAUUUGCCACCAGCUGGUAAGGAGGACCACACUGCAAGUGGUAAGUAAAGCACUGUUCACCUUUGGCACACAGUGGCAAUGCAACUGUUGAACUUUCCCACUGGAGAACUGAGAUGCUAUAGCAAUGGAAAGAAAUCCAUUGGCUGGUAUGAUUUCUCAAGGAUUUGAGAAAUAUGGAUGAAAUAGUAACUACAGUUACAAUGAAAUCAGAUGACUGUUGCUAAGGGGGAAGAAAAGGUAUGAAAAGUUACCAAUCAGUUAAUUGGAAAUUCAAAGCUAAAUGUUAAACUUGGAAGCCUUCCUUCAUAUCAUGUAAAAGGAGUCCUCAUCUCCUGUGGUGAUAGGACAGAAAAGGCUUGGGGACCAGAACUUAAGAGUAGGUGAGCCCAAAAGAAGUUUCAACUAUUAAUACGGGCCAGUUUGCUAUGCCAAGGUCAAGAAGCUGGUUAAGAUGGAAUGGGAUCUUGACAUACAAGAGGGAAACAUCAGGGGGGAUUCUCCUGAAAAUAAUGUAAUCCCAGUUUACUUGGGACCUGUCUAAUGCUCUGGCAAGAGGGAAAAUAGAAUCACGUAGAAAUUCAGGGGUGGUUUUGCUCUGUAUGCCAGGAUUGAUGGUAGGAGAUUCUUCCAUAGAACAACUAUCGGCAAUGGGUGUGACGGGACCACCACAGCAAUAGAGGACAGGACCUAUCACUCAUCAUCAGAAGACUGGUGGUCACAGUUAUCACAAUGAGUGGCGGAAUUGAGUGGCC
This 1110-nucleotide long non-coding RNA is filed under the name Felis catus (domestic cat). RNAcentral's name for it is "lncRNA (ENSFCAG00000041016.2)". The record is from RNAcentral. Lineage: Eukaryota; Metazoa; Chordata; Mammalia; Carnivora; Felidae.